RNAcentral lists this long non-coding RNA (532 nucleotides) under Mytilus galloprovincialis (Mediterranean mussel). Lineage: Eukaryota; Metazoa; Mollusca; Bivalvia; Mytilida; Mytilidae. The record is from RNAcentral.
AAUAUUUACUAGAACACACCCGUGAUAUCGCGGGUCCGUGACUGAAGUAAAGUAUAUAACUAUGCGCAAGCCUUAUCUUAGUAUUAGUACUGUCAUCUGAUAAAGUCAUGCCGAUUAUAAGAUACACAAUUUUCUCUGCUUUCAAAUCUUUCUGUUUGAACCCGUCGAACUGGAACUUAUCAAUUAUUGGUAAUAUUAAAUAUUUGGAAAACAAAAGGUCCUGGAAUGGAGUAUUUUUUAAUCAACAGCAUUGUCCUAUAUUAGUUAUAAAUAAAGUUGAAUUCUUUGAUUCGCUGUUUUACGUCAUGCCCGCUAACAAAUUGAAACUUAUUUUCAGUCCAGAUUUUUAGUAUUCGUAUUGUUAUCUUAGAAAGUCUUACGGAUUAAAAUACUACAAUAGGUAACAAUUUGACAAUUUAGUAGUGUCAACCCUGUGAUUAUGACCCGUUUAUAUAGCAUAUUAAUCCUGAAUACAUCGUUUGGUGGUGCGCCUGUCAGAUGCGGAACGUACAGAUAAGGUAAUAGGUAACAG